Molecule: non-coding RNA, 1153 nt
Organism: Pelobates cultripes (western spadefoot toad)
Lineage: Eukaryota; Metazoa; Chordata; Amphibia; Anura; Pelobatidae
Source: the annotation of a GenBank genome assembly
CUCAAAUGGGGGUUUCUCUUUUUACUCUAAGAUACGUGUGUGGUGAAUCGUGUGGGCCUUGGUGGUUAUCAGAAAUUAUAUGUAUGGGCAUAAUAGCUUUGGUCAGAGUACAUUCUCCCCACCACAGGCCAGUCAUUUUUAAUCUGAGCUGCAUGUCACCACAUAGCCAAUAAAUUUCUCCCAUGGACUUAACUUGAUUUACUAAUAGGGCAGUGGGAGGUUCUCGAUAAGUGGUACAGUAGCCAGAAGGGAAUUUACCUACAAAUUUACCCGUGGCUCUAUGUAUUGUGUAGCAAGUGUAGUUACCUGGGUACACGGUGAUUCCAUCAGCCAUAGUUUCUUCAAAUGUGGGAUUGACAAUGGCUACCAUGUAUUUAAGGGAUUUAAUGUGUGGUUUUAGAGGGUUAAUGGUCAUGUGUGUGGAGUCUACUCAGUCAGGUGACAUAAGCAUGUCCUGUAAAUAGAAGGUCCCCAACUUGUUAUAUGAGCCACCCCAUUUCCAAUACAUUCCCAUUCCGUACUCCCCAGCGUCUCCUGGGCUGGGAUGUUCUAUGUUCAAGGUGAGCUUCAUUGGGGUAGACCCUGUUGGCUUGCAUAAGGUCAUUCUGUAUAACAAGGGUUUCCCAUAUCUGUCAAUCCUAUCUAAGGCACUUUGUGGUCGGCCAGUAUUCCAACCCGCUACAGUGAUUGUUACAUGGUCACCUGUCACACAAAUUCACCUGUCCUUUUUGUUUGGUAUGUCUUUGUAUAUUGCUGAGUGUUGUGAUUGUGGAAAAGUACAAGAGACAAUAUCACAGUAAUCAAAGGUGAAAAUAGCUACGUGUGUGUUUGAAGAAUUAUACCAGAAUGUUUAAACAUGAUUGUCUUUGGUAAUAACAACUUGUUGGGCCUUCGAUAGGUCUAGCAGCAGAAAUAGGCACAGGAAGCUCAUGAUUUAGUGGAUCAGGAACUUUCUUGCAGUACGAGGCGUGUAUCCAGGUAUUCUUCCCGGCCACCUUUUACAGAGGUAGAUGUAGUCAAUAGGACUUGGAAUGGACCAUAAAACCUUGGCUCAAGAGUGUGUUUUCUUAGGAACUUCUUGACCAUGACCCAGUCACCAGGAAGUAGCUUAUGUGUGCCUGUAUUUGACUCUGGAUCUGGAAUAGAAGAAAAC